UCUACCUCUAGUAUUCUUCUCCAUUUAUACCCUCCUAUCCUUCCUUAUCUAUGAAGCGCUCAAAUUUGAAGAGAAGAAACGGAGAAGAUGAUGAAGAAAAAGUAGUUGAAGCUGCCAGCAUGAUCUGAGCUUUCCUUAAUUAUCCUAUUUGUAUCGAUCCAGAGGAGAGACUAGAUCAUGUGGCUGCUUCACCUGUUGAUGGUAGCAUGAAAAACCCUAAUCAGGUUAAACCCUAAUUUCCUGCCUCGAUCCAUUUUUGACAACUCGCUUUAUCAUGGAAAAACACACUAGAUGAGGUAUGCCAUAUAUUUAUCAAUUCACAUCUAAUUGAUUUUUUCAUUGAUAUGGGUAUUCCCCUUUGUGUUUUAUUUCUGAUUUCUCUCAUAAUCUGCUUUUUUUUUUUAAAUAAUAUCUGGUUGUUGUGUUCUUCUUUUCUAUGUCAAGGUUUGUGGAGAAUCUUAUUAGCAGGUAUGUGAUGUUGCUAAGGUCUUGAGUGACAGAAUUGCUGUCUUUUAAUUUGGUUGGUUCUUUUGAGAUCUAUCCUCUUGCCUUGAAGAUAGUGCUUUAAUAUUUUCUUUCAUGUGCUGUUCUUGUCAAUUUACUUUGUUUAUGCAUUCUUUUUUACUCAUGUCUUGUUGUUUAUUCAUAACCCAUGAUUUUGAAUUUUCUUUAUAUCUUUUUUAAAUUAAUUAGGUUUUAAUCCUUAGUGAUAGAUCAUCUUGAAACAGAAAAUGCUAUUUAGAAUACAGAAAAUUAAAUUAAUUAUUGUCUUCUUCUUCCUCCUCCUCUUUCUCUCUACCACCCAAAUUAAAGAUGAUAAGUUUCAUUAGAAUUGGUGGUUAAUUAGUUGUCAAAUUGAGAUUGAUUUCCUACUAAGACAAUAGGGAUGGAAUAGUAAUUUUUUUUCCCAUUUAGAGGUCGCAUUUGUAAUAAUCAUGAAAAUGAAAAAUAUGCAUGAAAUACUAAAACAGUGAACCAACAAAAUAUGCUGAGUUGAAAAAUUCGAGAAAUGAAUAGAGCUUAAUUAGAUCUAAUAGGAAAUUAAUGACUUUUCUUUUAGUUUUCAUGUUCAUUACAGUUGAGGAAAAUUAAAGCAUACAAAUGAGAUCAUAUUUUCUCAGAGAAAAUCCAUUUUCAGUGAAUUUUCCUAUUGCAUGAAACAAAUGCAUAGAACCCAUAUCUAUUUUCUCAUUGCAGAUCCAAAUCAAACAUCGUUUAGGGGAUUUUGAAGCCUACAAGAAUUUAGCCUGUAGAGAAACAAAGCUAGUAUGCCAUACCAGAACUUUAUCACUACUAUUUUCAGAAGUGGUUUGUGAGGACCAUUUUAUUUCCACGAUACUCAAUGAAUGUAAAAACCAAUUUGUGGGGACCAUCUCAUCCCAAUUCAACUAACAAUGCCUAAAUAAAUCCUAAUUUAAUUGUGAUCAGUUAUGUACCUUUCAUUAGCACUUUAUGUUCUUAAUAAGCUCUUCAUUUCAAUAAACAUUAUAUUCCAUUUCUUAAAAAUUGGAAACAACUGGGUCCAAGGCAUGUCAAGAUUAUAUUUGUUUAGUUCCAUAUUUGAAUUACAUAUAUACAUAAAUAGGAUAAAGAUUUAUGCUCAUUGACACCCACUGCAACUCUUCUCUUAAUUAUAAGAGAAGUUCUUGUGAGGACCAUUAGGGUGUCUGCAAUUCUAAGGCACAACAGCUACCUGGUCCUGGCUGACUGGCUCUAUCCUUUUAAUUUUCUCAUCAAGCACUAGCCUAAAAUGCAAACCUGGUAUGUAUAUAUAUAUAUAUAUAUAUAUAUAUUGAAUGUGGUACCUCCUUGUGAAAAAGACCUAACAAAACAUAUAUGCAUACAUUAUCUUUUGAAUAAAUUUGGCUUAUUCGUGAAAAUCAAUAAUUUCAUUUCUUUCUUUUGUUUUCCUUGGACACACGUCCUAUAUAUGCAAUAAUUGAUCUCCAAAGCUUGUAGCUUUUGACUACAAGUAUAAAUUUCUCAGAAGUUGCAGUCAAUAUUUAACACCAUGAAUCUCAUAUACAGCCACCUAAUGUGCAAGAUUAACUCCUCUAAGGAAUAUUUGAAUCUUUGAUCUGCUUGUGUUGUUUGUGUUGAAUAAUACUUGUGAGUUGCACUAUGUUUUAUGGUAUCAUGGCUUACAUACGCAGAUCUAUUUCUCGCUUGAAAGUAUUAAAUAUAUAAUCUAUGGAUAAAUUAGUUUUUUUGUCAUUAAUUUGGUUGUUAUCAAUGUUUCAUUUCCGUUUGUUUGCAAGCUUGAGUUAGCUAGACUCCAUGAAACCUUCACAAGAUUCCUGAAGCCGGCCACCUAUAGGAAACGUCAGCUGAUUGAGUUGGGCUAUGUCUUUUUAUGGGAUUUUCUUUUUUUGUCACGAUCUUUCAAGUGGGGUUUGUUACGUGCCAUCAAUAUUUAAUGGGGCUUUUCAGACGAUGAAGUGUCAAGUGAAGUAACCCUAGAAGGCGUUUCUUGACUUUUUUUGGGGUGGCUAAGCUUAUAUCAAUCACUUAUCAUCGUUUGAUAGAUAUUGGGGCUGCCAUGGGACUUUUUGAGUGGUCUCGGAUCAUGGAUAUUUGAAGCAAGAAGAAGUAUAAGCUUUAUUAGCAUAAUAUUUUUUGUACUGAUCUUGAGAGUGAUAUCAAAUUUCAAUGACUUCACGAGAAAUUUUAUAAUAAUUUAAUUCAAUUAAUUUAUUUUUA
Molecule: long non-coding RNA, 2700 nt
Organism: Hevea brasiliensis (rubber tree)
Lineage: Eukaryota; Viridiplantae; Streptophyta; Magnoliopsida; Malpighiales; Euphorbiaceae
Exons: 2
Source: RefSeq, a predicted model, not a curated record